UUGCAGUACCUCCAGGAACGGUG
Molecule: non-coding RNA, 23 nt
Filed under: Cricetulus griseus (Chinese hamster)
Lineage: Eukaryota; Metazoa; Chordata; Mammalia; Rodentia; Cricetidae
Also listed under: 1 other name
Source: RNAcentral